GACGAACGCUGGCGGCGUGCUUAACACAUGCAAGUCGAACGGAAAGGCCCUGCUUUUGUGGGGUGCUCGAGUGGCGAACGGGUGAGUAACACGUGAGUAACCUGCCCUUGACUUUGGGAUAACUUCAGGAAACUGGGGCUAAUACCGGAUAGGAGCUCCUGCUGCAUGGUGGGGGUUGGAAAGUUUCGGCGGUUGGGGAUGGACUCGCGGCUUAUCAGCUUGUUGGUGGGGUAGUGGCUUACCAAGGCUUUGACGGGUAGCCGGCCUGAGAGGGUGACCGGCAACAUUGGGACUGGGAUACGGCCCAGACUCCUACGGGAGGCAGCAGUGGGGAAUCAUGCACAAUGGGCGGACGCCUGAUGCAGCAACGCCGCGUGCGGGAUGAAGGCCUUCGGGUUGUAAACCGCUUUCGCCUGUGACGCAGCGUGAGUGACGGUAAUGGGUAAAGAAGCACCGGCUAACUACGUG
Molecule: ribosomal RNA, 468 nt
Filed under: uncultured bacterium
Lineage: Bacteria
Description: partial 16S ribosomal RNA
Rfam family: Bacterial small subunit ribosomal RNA
Source: RNAcentral